Molecule: long non-coding RNA, 1729 nt
Organism: Apis mellifera (honey bee)
Lineage: Eukaryota; Metazoa; Arthropoda; Insecta; Hymenoptera; Apidae
Exons: 2
Source: RefSeq, a predicted model, not a curated record
AGAAUGGAAACUACUACUACUACUACUACUACUACUACUAGUACUACUACUACUACUACUACUACUACAUUUCGUUUAGAAGUGUUCUUGUUGUUAACGUUGGAGAGUAACUAUUGCAUCAGGGACCAUAUUUUGGCAUCGUUGUUCGUGGUACAGGUAUAAAAAAGAGAAAAAAGAAAAGGAAAAAGUGAAAUAACUUUUUGACGCAAAGAGCCUCAUUUUCUAGGAGAAUGAUAAUUUGAAUGUUCUUGUAUCUUGAUUCAUAUUUCAUAUGAUUUAAAUCGUAUCAUGAUACACAAUAUUAAAAAUUGUUAUUAUUAUUGUAUUAAUUGUCAAUUCUGUCUGUCAACUUUUAAAAAGAAAUGAAAUGGAUGAUUGAUCUUUUUAUAAUUGUAAAUUCGUAAAAAUUAUACUUUCUUAUUGUGGAUUAAUAAUCCAAAUAUUUAAUGAGAAUUUAGUUUAUUGCAAAAAGUACAUGGAAAAGUUAAUAUUUGAUAAUUCUAACUAGAUAAAUAUAUCUAGGAAUUAUAUUAUAUAGAGAAACGAUAGUACUUUGUAAUGAAAUUACCAAUUAUUCGAUAUCGUUCAUAAAUAAUUCUUUUGUAGAAUAAAGCUCCAUACGACAAAAGAUUAUUUGAUCAUAUUGAACCACGGAAUAAUCUCACUCUACUUGUACCACGAAUUACAUUUCGUUAUAUAAAAACUAUUUUUUUUAUUGCUAUUAACUUAUGAUGAAAUGUUUCAGGAGCAAAUCGUGCGAUUGAAAUUCGUUUCCAUUUUUUUUUCUUUUUUUUUUUUUUAAUUUCAAGAGUAAACAUAAAAUAGAUGAAUUGAGAAAGAGAAAAUUUUCCGGAACAACGAAAUUAAUUCCUAAAACAUCUUCCAUUAUAUCGUUAAUAGCAAUGGAAAUACUUCAAAAGUGUAUUCGAACGAGCCCUGAUGUAAAAGAGAAGCGCGCCAAAGUCAAGAUUUUCUUUUCAAAUCAUCUCCUCUUUUAUGAAAAAUUAUUAUAAAAACGAAAUGUAACGAGAAUCAAGUAUCAAGUAGAAGAAAAAAAAAACAAAAUUUUCCAAAUCAAAAGAUUAAACAUUGCAAUCUCUGUGAAUAAAGAAACAAAAUCGUAUUGAUCCGAAAGCAAAAUGUUGACUUGGCGAGCGCAAAACGAUCAGAAUGCACCCUCGAACACGAAAAGUGUCUCGAAGGACGAUCGAAAAACGCUGAUGAGAAAAAAGAAAAGAAAAGAAAAGAAAAGAAAAGAAAAAAAAAAAAUGAAAAAGUUGCAUGCGUUUUGUUAACUCUUUCGUUGAUCCGCGAGAUUGAUAUAAAAAAAAAAAAAAAAAAAAAAAAAAAAAAAAUAUCGAAGCACUAACCGUACCUGCUAGUUAAACUCAAUACGAUUUAGAUAGAUAGAAUAGAAUAGAAUAGAGAGAAAGAGAGGGAGAGAAAGAGAGGGAGAGAGAGAGAGAGCAUCGUAGGUGGGAUCUAUGGAAGUGUCUCUGCUAUGAAAUAAAUAACGGGGGAUUGUUUUCUUAGGGGAUGGUUCAAGCGAAAGGGGGUCGGGAUUAUUUAAAAAAAAAAAAAAAGAUGAUAAUAAUAAUAAUAAAAAUAAUAAAAAUAAAAGUAAAAAAUAAAAAAGACUCCUCUCUCUUGGUGUGUGCAUCCACUCGAUGAGGGUAAAACGAGUCUCUAAAGAGUAAUAAUAAUAAGAAAAAAAAAAAAAAAAAAAAAA